This 311-nucleotide ribosomal RNA is filed under the name Acinetobacter baumannii. RNAcentral's name for it is "bacterial SSU rRNA". It matches the Rfam family "Bacterial small subunit ribosomal RNA", at positions 1140 to 1450 of the family's 1533-position model. Lineage: Bacteria; Pseudomonadati; Pseudomonadota; Gammaproteobacteria; Moraxellales; Moraxellaceae. The record is from RNAcentral.
CAAAGGAGACUGCCAGUGAUAAACUGGAGGAAGGUGGGGAUGACGUCAAGUCAUCAUGGCCCUUACGGCCAGGGCUACACACGUGCUACAAUGGCAUAUACAAAGAGAAGCGACCUCGCGAGAGCAAGCGGACCUCAUAAAGUAUGUCGUAGUCCGGAUUGGAGUCUGCAACUCGACUCCAUGAAGUCGGAAUCGCUAGUAAUCGUAGAUCAGAAUGCUACGGUGAAUACGUUCCCGGGCCUUGUACACACCGCCCGUCACACCAUGGGAGUGGGUUGCAAAAGAAGUAGGUAGCUUAACCUUCGGGAGGG